CUAGAGACUGCGGACUUAGGCAGUUUUACAUUAGCUUUAGCGAGCACUGCACCGGAAGAAGCAAGCUGGUAAGUAAUUGAAAUGCGGACCAGAACUUGUGCCUGGGGCUACUCGCAGAGUCAGCAGGAUUUCAAAGAUUCACUGGUCCACAGUUAAGCCAUGAUUCUUCUGAGGCCUUUUACUCUCAUCCCUGCCGGCACUGACCUCCCUCAUGAGGAGCAUGAGGUGCCGGGUGGGUGUUUAGCAGGAUCGUUUUAUCAUCUUUUCCAACCACAGGGGAAACUGAGGCUUUUGAAACGCAGGUUGGAUGCUGAGUAAUCAUGGCUGUGUGUGUCAACAAGCAAGGGAGGUGACCGCCAUUUCUCCUUCCCCUUAAGGGUUGUUUGCCCUUGCACCCAUGAGAGAUGGCUUCUGCUUCAGUUCUUUGCUCAAUACCUCCUAUUCACUGAAUCCUUAAAGGAAACAUUUAGCUACCGCUGCACAUAAGUUGGUUGCAUAAUAGGAAAGAAACAAGCCAGGGCUGGAGACCUCAUCUCCACGGAAGCAUUGUAAGGCCAGCGAGGGCUGUUUUACAGAGCCAGCCAUGACUUGGGACUCCCUCUAUACCCUUUCAUUACCAUGACAACAGGCAGCUCCUACUUCACACAUCCAGGAAAAGCAGCUGACAUCUCAAUGCUAGGAACACAGGGGAGAGGUUUACAAAAAAACCACAACAACCACCACCAAAAAAGCCUUUUUGUUUGCCUGUCAACAGAGAGAACACCCCCCCAGAGGCGACUGCAAAGCCAGGGUGAAAGGACAGAAGGAUCACUGCAGCAGAUGCGUUUUUAUAUUGCUCGAUUGGAAGCUGUCCUCAUGACCGCAGUCUGAACGUUAACAGAGAAGCGUUCCGGCUGCUUUAACCAUCCUACACGUAAGCAGCUCUGGAAAUUGAAGUUGCUGCUCUUUAGAGCAUGCUGAUUUAGAGAAGCUGUGGUUCACAGUCUGCUCUUCCCCAGCCCAGUCAGUCAUCCUCUGUAAGCCUAUGAUGGCACCGUGCUGUACAAGAAGAGGUCUUCCUGUGUGCUUAUUUCUGACUUUGCACUGUGGCAUUCAUCUAUCGAGGCAUGUAAAUAUUUAUUUGUUUACCUGGCCCCGAGCUAAUCUGGAGCCCACAGAGAUCCGUCUGCCUCUGCCUCCUGGGUACUAAGUUUAAAGGAGGCCUGGCUCUGCUUCUGUAUGUAUGUGUGUAAUCAUUUCAAUGGUUGUGUCUGUAUUUAUUGCACAUUUAUCGUGUGUCGGACCCUGCGCUAACAGCUUUCUAUGCAUCGUGUCAGUGGAGUCUGACAAGUCUUUGGAGGUUUUACUACGUUCCCAUUUUAAAGAUAGUACAGAGUAAUGUUAACUGUACAGGAUUUAAGACCAGACAGCUUGGAUUUUCUUCUUGACUUUCCCACACCCUAACUGUACACCCAGGAGCUAGUAAUAACCUCUCUCAGCAUCUGCUUUCUUAUUUAUAAAAUGAGGCUACAGAUAUGGGAGGAGUGACUAUAGGGUCUAUCACAGGCAAUUGUUCUGAGUUUCAAGAAUUUGAUGCAAACCAACUGCAUAAAACUCCUACUAUGUAGUAGACACUCAACAAAUGUUAACGAUUUUGGUUUAUGUCAGACGACAGCAACGUUCGCUUUCUCCCGGGUCUCUAACUGUAAUAGCAAGGUGGUACUCUCCUUGCCUCCCGCCUGUGUUAGCUAACUGAGCAGGCAUUUCGCUGAGGAGGAGAUGCUGCCUCCCCCCUCUCCAGGUGACUAGCCCAAAUGCUUCUGAUACUAUACACUCUCCACUAACACUGGAUGAGAAGUUGUUAUUUAACGUAAUUUAGGCUCUCUGAGUGUGUGACAAAGUCAACAGGCAACCAGAAUGAUAAAAACAAAAGCCAAGCGAAGCAAAUAAAAACCCUGAGCUAUAAAAGUUUGCAGACGUGCCUCAGCCGGUUCUCUCUACAGACCCCAGAACAUUUGCCACACUGAUUUUCAGAACGCCAAAAGAGAAAGAGAAAGGUAACAGAACUUAUCUCUGUCGUGCAGCAGGGAAGUCUGGGAGCAGAGGAAGCCAGGCAGUGAGCCAGAGCCCUUCCAGCUGGGAAGGGCGCACGUGUCUGGGAUCAGGAUUAUAGAAAGGGCUGAGGAUGUGACGCCUUGAUGCCUCAGACAAUGGGAUGUUUUUUCCUCAGCUCAGGUCUGGAGUGUGAGCAGCUCCUCUGAGGAAGGGACAAGGGUUUGUUUCUUCCAGGGCCUUUGCACACAUCUGCACGCUUCUCUCUGGUCUUAGCAGCACAGAGGAAGCUGGCGCCAUUCUGCAAUGGUGUCCCGAGGGAUCAUGGAGCGGUGAGACCAGCCAGGCCAUAUAGAAAAGGAUUUGAUUUUUUUUUUGGUUAAAGAAUUUUCUCAAAGACUUCAAAUAUUAACUUAUUUUAACUAGCAUUCUCCAUUUAUUUGAGACGGCUUUAUGAGCUUGAUUCCACUCAAUGAGAUUAAUUCCAUGAGAACAAAGAGAAAGAUUUAGUUGGAGAGUGCUUAAAAAAACAAACAAACAAACAAAAAAACCCAUCUUGACCCAACUCAAAUUUUUUCUAAUACUGAAUUUGACAUAUUUGUUGGAAUGCUGAAAACGAAGUUCCUUGCAGACAAAUUGUUCACGGAAAACUGGAAUUAAGGCCUAAAUGUAAUUUAUGUCUGAUGAGAGCAGGUCUCAUUUCUAAGAUUGGGGAUUUUCACUCAGUUGUAUGACUCGAGAGAUCUCCUGCUCAGGGAUGAGAACUUCAGGGCACUGUAAUAUAUAAUGACAAACUCACACACAGGAUGUAAGAGAAUACUGACU
RNAcentral lists this long non-coding RNA (2856 nucleotides) under Mus caroli (Ryukyu mouse). RNAcentral's name for it is "lncRNA (MGP_CAROLIEiJ_G0003720.1)". Lineage: Eukaryota; Metazoa; Chordata; Mammalia; Rodentia; Muridae. The record is from RNAcentral.